Molecule: ribosomal RNA, 432 nt
Filed under: uncultured bacterium
Lineage: Bacteria
Description: partial 16S ribosomal RNA
Rfam family: Bacterial small subunit ribosomal RNA
Source: RNAcentral
AACGAACGCUGGCGGCAUGCCUAACACAUGCAAGUCGAACGAGACCUUCGGGCCUAGUGGCGCACGGCUGCGUACCGCGUGGGAACCUGCCCUUAGGUUCGGAAUACCUCCCCGAAAGGUGUGCUAAUACCGGUUAUGUCUUCGCACCAAAGAUUGAUCGCCUUUGUAUGGGCCCGCGUUGGAUUAGCUAGUUGGUAGGGUAAAAGCCUACCAAUGCGAGGAUGCAUAGCUGGUCUGCGAGGAUGCUCAGCCACACUGGGACUGAGACACAGACCAGACUCGGACGGGAGGCAGGAGAGGGGAAUAUUGGACGAUGGGGGAAAGUGUGAUCAAGCAAUGCGGCGUGAGUGAGGAAGGCCGUAGGGAUGUAAAGCUCUUUUAGACGGGAUGAUAAUGACAGUAACGGGAGAAUAAGCACCGGCUAACUACGUG